GAACGCGAAGAACCUUACCUGGGCUUGACAUGUAAUGAACAACAUGUGAAAGCAUGCGACUCUUCGGAGGCGUUACACAGGUGCUGCAUGGCCGUCGUCAGCUCGUGUCGUGAGAUGUUUGGUUAAGUCCAGCAACGAGCGCAACCCCUGUUGCCAGUUACCAGCACGUGAAGGUGGGGACUCUGGCGAGACUGCCCAGAUCAACUGGGAGGAAGGUGGGGACGACGUCAGGUCAGUAUGGCCCUUAUGCCCAGGGCUGCACACGUACUACAAUGCCCAGUACAGAGGGGGCCGAAGCCGCGAGGCGGAGGAAAUCCUAAAAACUGGGCCCAGUUCGGACUGUAGGCUGCAACCCGCCUACACGAAGCCGGAAUCGCUAGUAAUGGCGCAUCAGAAUGUCGCGGUGAAUACGUUCCCGGGUCUUGUACACACCGA
This 435-nucleotide ribosomal RNA is filed under the name uncultured bacterium. Its description in RNAcentral is "bacterial SSU rRNA". It matches the Rfam family "Bacterial small subunit ribosomal RNA", at positions 957 to 1393 of the family's 1533-position model. The record is from RNAcentral.